GAAUUCGAUUCAGGCCUAACACAUGCAAGUCGAACGGCAGCACGGGUGCUUGCACCUGGUGGCGAGUGGCGAACGGGUGAGUAAUAUAUCGGAACGUAUCCAUUAAUGGGGGAUAACUAGUCGAGAGAUUAGCUAAUACCGCAUACGUCCUACGGGAGAAAGCAGGGGAUCUUCGGACCUUGCGUUAAUGGAGCGGCCGAUAUCUGAUUAGCUAGUUGGUGGGGUAAUGGCCUACCAAGGCGACGAUCAGUAGCUGGUCUGAGAGGACGACCAGCCACACUGGAACUGAGACACGGUCCAGACUCCUACGGGAGGCAGCAGUGGGGAAUUUUGGACAAUGGGCGCAAGCCUGAUCCAGCCAUGCCGCGUGAGUGAAGAAGGCCUUCGGGUUGAAAGCUAUUGGCAAGGGAAGAAAACUUCCUUCUAAUAAAGGGUGAGGUGAC
This 443-nucleotide ribosomal RNA is filed under the name uncultured bacterium. RNAcentral's name for it is "bacterial SSU rRNA". It matches the Rfam family "Bacterial small subunit ribosomal RNA", at positions 39 to 478 of the family's 1533-position model. The record is from RNAcentral.